AGAGUUUGAUCCUGGCUCAGGACGAACGCUGGCGGCAUGCCUAAUACAUGCAAGUCGAGCGGACUUGAAGAGAAGCUUGCUUCUUUGAUGGUUAGCGGCGGACGGGUGAGUAACACGUAGGCAACCUGCCCUCAAGUUUGGGACAACUACCGGAAACGGUAGCUAAUACCGAAUAAUUGUUUUCUUCGCCUGAAGGAAACUGGAAAGACGGAGCAAUCUGUCACUUGGGGAUGGGCCUGCGGCGCAUUAGCUAGUUGGUGAGGUAACGGCUCACCAAGGCGACGAUGCGUAGCCGACCUGAGAGGGUGAUCGGCCACACUGGGACUGAGACACGGCCCAGACUCCUACGGGAGGCAGCAGUAGGGAAUCUUCCGCAAUGGGCGAAAGCCUGACGGAGCAAUGCCGCGUGAGUGAUGAAGGUUUUCGGAUCGUAAAGCUCUGUUGCCAGGGAAGAACGCUUGGGAGAGUAACUGCUCUCAAGGUGACGGUACCUGAGAAGAAAGCCCCGGCUAACUACGUGCCAGCAGCCGCGGUAAUACGUAGGGGGCAAGCGUUGUCCGGAAUUAUUGGGCGUAAAGCGCGCGCAGGCGGUCAUUUAAGUCUGGUGUUUAAUCCCGGGGCUCAACCCCGGAUCGCACUGGAAACUGGGUGACUUGAGUGCAGAAAAGGAGAGUGGAAUUCCACGUGUAGCGGUGAAAUGCGUAGAUAUGUGGAGGA
Molecule: ribosomal RNA, 717 nt
Filed under: Paenibacillus sp. pfB33
Lineage: Bacteria; Bacillati; Bacillota; Bacilli; Caryophanales; Paenibacillaceae
Description: bacterial SSU rRNA
Rfam family: Bacterial small subunit ribosomal RNA
Source: RNAcentral